This 465-nucleotide ribosomal RNA is filed under the name uncultured bacterium. RNAcentral's name for it is "partial 16S ribosomal RNA". It matches the Rfam family "Bacterial small subunit ribosomal RNA", at positions 28 to 507 of the family's 1533-position model. The record is from RNAcentral.
GAUGAACGCUGGCGGCGUGCUUAACACAUGCAAGUCGAACGGAAAGGCUCCUGCUUGCAGGGGUACUCGAGUGGCGAACGGGUGAGUAACACGUGGGUGAUCUGCCCUGCACUUCGGGAUAAGCCUGGGAAACUGGGUCUAAUACCGGAUAGGGCGAUGGUUUGGAUGCCAUUGUGGAAAGUUUUUCGGUGUGGGAUGAGCUCGCGGCCUAUCAGCUUGUUGGUGGGGUAAUGGCCUACCAAGGCGUCGACGGGUAGCCGGCCUGAGAGGGUGUACGGCCACAUUGGGACUGAGAUACGGCCCAGACUCCUACGGGAGGCAGCAGUGGGGAAUAUUGCACAAUGGGCGCAAGCCUGAUGCAGCGACGCCGCGUGGGGGAUGACGGCCUUCGGGUUGUAAACUCCUUUCGCUAGGGACGAAGCGCAAGUGACGGUACCUGGAGAAGAAGCACCGGCUAACUACGUG